AUUGAACGCUGGCGGCAGGCCUAACACAUGCAAGUCGAGCGAGCGGCGGACGGGUGAGUAAUGUAUGGGGACUGCCCGAUAGAGGGGGAUAACUACUGGAAACGGUAGCUAAUACCGCAUACUAUCGGAUAACCCAUAUGGGAUUAGCUAGUAGGUGAGGUAAUGGCUAACCUAGGCGACGAUCCCUAGCUGGUCUGAGCGGAUGAGCAGCCACACUGGUACUGAGACACGGCCCAGACGCCGACGGAGGCAGCAGUGGGGAAUAUUGCACAAUGGGCGCAAGCCUGAUGCAGCCAUGCCGCGUGUAUGAAGAAGGCCCUAGGGUUGUAAAGUACUUUCAGUCGUGAGGCGUUACCGGCAGAAGAAGCACCGGCUAACUCCGUGCCAGCAGCCGCGGUAAUUC
Molecule: ribosomal RNA, 403 nt
Filed under: uncultured bacterium
Lineage: Bacteria
Description: partial 16S ribosomal RNA
Rfam family: Bacterial small subunit ribosomal RNA
Source: RNAcentral